GAUGAACGCUGGCGGCGUGCCUAAUACAUGCAAGUCGAGCGAAUAGAUGAGGAGCUUGCCCCUCUGACGUUAGCGGCGGACGGGUGAGUAACACGUGGAUAACCUAUCUAUAAGACUGGGAUAACUUCGGGAAACCGGAGCUAAUACCGGAUAACAUAUUGAACCGCAUGGUUCAAUAGUGAAAUACGGUUAUGCUGUCACUUAUAGAUAGACCCGCGCGGCAUUAGCUAGUUGGCAAGGUAACGGCUUACCAAGGCAACGAUGCGUAGCCGACCUGAGUGGGUGGACGGCUACAGUGGAACUGAGACACGGUCCAGACUGCUGGGGAAGGCACCAGUGUGGGAUCAACCGUAAUACGCGAAAGCCUGACAAAGCAACGCCGCAUAAAUGAUGAAGGUCUUCGGUGCAUAAAACUAUGAUACUAGAGUAAAGCAAUUGUGUAAGUUACUAUGCACUUCUUGACGGUACCUAAUCAAAAAGCCACGGCUAACUGCAUG
This 497-nucleotide ribosomal RNA is filed under the name uncultured bacterium. RNAcentral's name for it is "partial 16S ribosomal RNA". It matches the Rfam family "Bacterial small subunit ribosomal RNA", at positions 28 to 507 of the family's 1533-position model. The record is from RNAcentral.